GUUUUUUUUUUAAGCUCAGCAUGGAAAAAGUUUCUCUGUUAACUACUAGUAUAGUCGUUUUAAAGCACGAUAAUUUAAUUAUAUGCUGUAGUUCUAUCCUUAUCUACUGAAACAGUUUGUUCAACUUGCUGUCUCCCAAGACCCUUUUCUACAGAAAGAAAUGGAGCUUGGUAGGUUAGUAGCUGUCUCUAGAUUGAUAAUGUGUACCCACUGUUGAAAAUUGAGUAGCUGAAGGCAUUGCAUCUUUGGCAGCAGCAGCUCAAAAGGUUUUUAUAGAUCGAGUGCCUGAGUCAGCAGGAAUCCAUCUGCAGUUUAUAGUAAAAAGGUGUGAUACUUCCAGACACUCCAGGAACACAGCUUAGGAGGAAGUGACAGGAGUGAUGAACGCGACCGGGAGGUUUUGCUGUUCAGUGAUUGUUGUGAGAGAUCUGUCAGCAUCUAGAAGGAAAGGCCAGUUUCCAGCACCAGCAUAUUGUUGCAGUAAAGGUGAAAAAGUGAGCAGCUGCAGGGGCCACAACUCAGCUGACAAGACCUCUUCAAGCUUACCCCCAGAGGAUGCAGGAGAGCAGAGCUGGCAGCAGGGGAGGCCUUGGAGCUGUGGCAUCGCCAGGCUGGCAGGGUAGCGCGCUCUUUGGAUGUGAAAACUGACUCACCGCAUUUCUUGGGAUGUAGCAAGCUAAAUGUCAUCGUGUGAGGAACAGAUAGUACUGUGAGUUUCGUAUGGUUUUGCUUGUGAUCUGUAGUCUCUGUGUUGAGAUUGUUGCAGACUGCUUGAGUUUUGGUUUUCCUGACACAGGAAGCAUAGGGAGGGGGACACACAGCUUCUACUGACACGGGAAUCUAAGGAAAAAGAAUGGCUACCCUGAAAUUUGGAAAUCAAACUGCUGAAAUUACGGCAUUCAGCCUUUGUUAGAACUCAGGAAGAUUUCUGUCCGUCACUAACCACUUGUUCUUGCAGCAGCUCUGCUGUUGAAGUGUGAAACCUUUUCUGCAUGCAACUUGUGUGGAGCAGGACAGGAACACAGAGGCCAAAGCCUACGGCAUUAUCUUCGCCCCCGGAGAGGCGCAUAAUUCCCCUACACCUGUAGCGUUUUUCAACUCCUGGGAGUGCGAGUGGGGCAGGUUGUGUGUCACCCGCCCACUCUUCCCAUUGCUCUUCCCUGUACACAGCCCCACGGCAUGCUAUUGUUAGAUAUGAAUGCUAAUUGCUGGUAUUUCAAGGCUCCUAUCUUCUUAUUGCUAAAGCCUGUAACAAUAAUCACAGCCUACAUUCCCCAUCUCUAGGCAUCAAGGAAACAAGAUAUGAUCACAGGCAGUGUGCUGAAGUAAUUGUAGUAUAUAGAAUAUGAGCUUUUUCUGUGUAAACACAGGCCUGGCCACAUCCUAUGAUAGCUCUUCCUACACUCCAUAAGAUGGCUGUUCCCAGGCUCACAACUCACGUCCCCAUUAUGUAUAUAUCUACCCUUGUCAUAACACCACCUCUGAAACACUCACACCGUUUGGUCCUGCUGCAUAAUGUUAAGAGGGUGGAAUUUUAAAUUGAAAAAGGCUGUUUAAGUAAUGUCAGCAGCCUGACUAAUUUCACAAAAGGAAGGAAAUUCAAAGUUAAGGCUA
Molecule: non-coding RNA, 1614 nt
Organism: Anas platyrhynchos (mallard)
Lineage: Eukaryota; Metazoa; Chordata; Aves; Anseriformes; Anatidae
Source: RefSeq, a predicted model, not a curated record